UAGGCUUAUGUGGCAUCAUGCCAGGAGCUACAUGUCAUCAACUCCUGAACAGACUGCCUGAGAGAAGAGGAACUUUCUUCUUUUCACACAGGAGGAAUGACUUUUCCUAAUAUGUUACCAUUACUUGCUGUAAUACAUGGCUGCACCACCUAAAUACAAAAUAGUUUUGUUCUUCCUUGUAAGAAGCCACCUUCUCCAUCACAGCAGAUCGAUUCUACAACAAUGCCAAACCAAAUGUGAGAAACUGCAUUCCUAGAACUUAUUCUUUCUUGAAUAAAGCAAAGGGGUGUGUGUGAUUAAAUGAAA
Molecule: long non-coding RNA, 306 nt
Organism: Podarcis raffonei (Aeolian wall lizard)
Lineage: Eukaryota; Metazoa; Chordata; Lepidosauria; Squamata; Lacertidae
Exons: 2
Source: RefSeq, a predicted model, not a curated record